RNAcentral lists this ribosomal RNA (327 nucleotides) under uncultured eukaryote. RNAcentral describes it as "partial 18S ribosomal RNA". It matches the Rfam family "Eukaryotic small subunit ribosomal RNA", at positions 1470 to 1796 of the family's 1831-position model. The record is from RNAcentral.
CCCUUAGAUGUUCUGGGCUGCACGCGCGCUACACUGAUGCAUCCAACAAGUUUUUUCCUUGUUCGAGAGGACUAGGUAAUCUUUUGAGAAUGCAUCGUGAUGGGGAUAGAUUAUUGCAAUUAUUAAUCUUCAACGAGGAAUUCCUAGUAAGCGCAAGUCAACAGCUUGCGUUGAUUACGUCCCUGCCCUUUGUACACACCGCCCGUCGCUACUACUGAUUGGAUGUUUAAGCGAGGUUCUCGAACUGCUAGCGACUUAGCUUCGGUGAGGUCGCAGCGUGGGAAGUGAACCUAGCUUUGGUGUCUAGAGGAAGUAAAAGUCGUGACA